This 120-nucleotide ribosomal RNA is filed under the name Porichthys plectrodon (Atlantic midshipman). The record is from RNAcentral. Lineage: Eukaryota; Metazoa; Chordata; Actinopteri; Batrachoidiformes; Batrachoididae.
ACUUACGGCCAUACCAUUCUGAAAACGCCCGAUCUCGUCUGAUCUCGGAAGCAAAGCAGAGUCGGGCCUGGUUAGUACUUGGAUGGGAGANNGCCUGGGAAUACCAGGUGCUGUAAGCCU